GAAAAAUCACAAUAUUCAGAUAGUAAGAGUUUCUGGAUCCUGUUGUUUUCCGUUUGGGCUCGUUCGUAUCGGCGUGAGAGGCAGGUGGAGUCGUGCGAGGUUCGCAUGAAAGAUUUCUCUUUAGAUAACGGGUGUCAAAGAAACACUGGAACUUCGUGUACGAAACGAUCGAAUCGUUUAGGUAUGUUCCAAACAACCGAACAAUUUGUAAACUUCCGAAGGAUUUGUCUGCCAUGUGGAAUGGUUACCUACUGCUUCGUCGAUGCCAAGGUAUAACGAUGACAACGCGUUGGUCGAUUUCUCGAUCGAUUGGAGCUGCAACUUCAGAUUCAUCCAACCUGAACGGUGAGGCCAGGUACGAUGCCUCGGCAAACACCACAGCCAAGACGACCUUUCUCACCGACGAGUAUUCGGAUCCUAACUUCACUGUUUGAAACGGCUCCCACACCAGUCUCGUUGUACUGCAGCUGUUGUUGCUGCUGUUGCACCAUGUGCCAGCACGAGGACCUGCUGAUUUUUCACCAAAAGGGCAACUUCCUGAUGUACGGCAUCUUCAACUGGAUAUCCAUUUACCCUGAGGAUUUGAUCACCUACCUAUAACGAGUAAGUACGAGUCAAUUAAAUAGAAAUUGAAUUGAUCUUCUUAAUCACAUCAUUUAAUUCGACCGACCCUCAAUCCGUUUCUAUGAGCUUCGCCACCAGGUUGAACGUUACUGAUGUAAAAUCCAGCAGCGUAUUCUCUACCACCUCGCAAUGAGAAGCCGAAACCGGAUGCACCUCGACGUCUCAAUCUAACGUUCCUGGUAACGCCGAUGACGGCCAUUCUGCCGCCUCCCACCGGAUUUCCAGGACCUGCACCGUUCGAUGAUCCCGUUCCAGCACUAGAUGCGCUGGAAGAGCCACCGGAUCUGUAAACAUCGAAGGAUGGAUCUUACCUGUUCUUACAUCAUAAACUUUUGCCUACAUGUAAAAGAAGAAACGAAUACGUAUAUAUUUUCGUAGGACGAACGUCCACUCCUCGAUGCAAAAUGUGGAUAUUCUUCGAUGGAUCCUCCACUCAAACACUUUACAGAAGGUUCAUCGUACGAUGAAAGGGUUUCUUUUCGUCUCGAUUCUUCCUCUCUUUGGAUGAGAGGACUCUCCAAAGUGAUACACAAAGAUGAUAAGCUAGCCAAGCUAUUUUACUGUCUCUCUUUCUCCGACUUUUUUUUUUAUUUUUUAAAUAUCGAUUGAAUUCCUAAUUUCUUCGUACUUUUUAGAAAAGUCGAUAUGUCCGUUUUAUUAUAUGUUUUAGAUAGGAUCUCAACUUCGAUUUAAUUUUGGAUCUCGUUUAUAGCUAGCAUGUAUCUGUAUCUACGGGUUUGCGAUCGUUAAAGUCCAAUGGGAUCUUUUUAUCAUCGGCAACUUUCGUUUCUCCUUUUUCUACCUCCAUUUCAUCGUCGUUCGAACGUCGUUAAUCGGCAGAAAUAUUGACUCUGAAAGACGUCACGCCUUUCGAAUCGUCACGGAUAUCGCCAUGGCCGAGAACGUGGAUGGAAAACCGAUGGAAACGAGUAGCGGGAUCAUCGAUAGGUAAGUUAGAAUGAACAAAAGAGUUGGUGUAACGUAGGAUGAUUGUUAAAACGAUAUAUGUAUGCAUGUACGAACUUUCAUCGUCGAUCUUGUAACUGCAGUUUUAGAAUUUACAUACGUACCCAUGUAUAUUCUAGAAUACUUUAAAAUAUACAAUUAUCGCGUAUAAGAUAUAUAUAUUAUUAAUAUUUUUAAGAAUAUUCUAAGACAAAAUAUUAUAAUAUAAAGUAUAAAGUUUUAAUAGAUGUAAAAUUAGAAUAUGGUAUCAAAAAAAUAGUUAAAGAAUGUAUUAUAAAAUACUUUUUGAAUAUUUUAAUAUAUAUAUAUAU
Molecule: long non-coding RNA, 1901 nt
Organism: Vespula pensylvanica (western yellowjacket)
Lineage: Eukaryota; Metazoa; Arthropoda; Insecta; Hymenoptera; Vespidae
Exons: 4
Source: RefSeq, a predicted model, not a curated record